CUAAACUACCUUUCUGGCAACGCCGUGCGCAUGCCAAAGCAUUUGAGAAGUGGUACGCCCGCGUCAUUCUGUUGAGAAUUGCUUAUCAGCCAUGCCUGAUAAUGCUAGCUAUGUAUUGGUAGAGAUCGCAAUUACGGUUCCUGGGCAUCGCAUUAGCCCAAUCAUGCUAAAUCAAGGCGCCAUUCGGAUUCCGUCAAGCUUGCAGCCAGGAUAGAUUAUAUAAGCUAUACCCACGUUAAAUUAUCUAUACAUAAGAGCGCGGGUUGCCAUACACAUCAUUCAAAUGUGUGCAGUAACGGCACCGAGGCGCCGACUAACAAUUCCAUAACAUCGCACAGGUGCACACACGCGCCGACUCUACGGGCAACUGAAGGCUCAAUGCAUAAUUCUGCCAUACUGGGCUCGUCCUAACUCCAAACGUGGUGCUCGCGAGGUUGUAAUGUCAAGACUCUCGUAACGAAAGGCUGUUCUGGCAAUCAAGAUAGUGGCCCACGUGAUAUGGCCAGAGAAGUGAGUUAUAAUACAUGUUAGAUGGUAAGCCGAGAACAACUCUGCUGCGAGAUGCGAACGUUAGCCGCCAUGGCAGAGGAAAAUGAGCGAGCGUGCUCGUGGGCAAUCCUUACAAGAAUUCGCCGAUCAAAGUGGAAUGGUGUCGGAGUUGCAAGGUAAACUCACUCAUAGGUUGUGAAAGCUACUAUCUAUGUGCUCGACUUGUUCUGAAGAGGCCUG
Molecule: long non-coding RNA, 729 nt
Filed under: Volvox carteri
Lineage: Eukaryota; Viridiplantae; Chlorophyta; Chlorophyceae; Chlamydomonadales; Volvocaceae
Description: long non-coding RNA (VCAR_LNC000060)
Source: RNAcentral